This 161-nucleotide ribosomal RNA is filed under the name uncultured Oxalobacteraceae bacterium. RNAcentral describes it as "partial 16S ribosomal RNA". It matches the Rfam family "Bacterial small subunit ribosomal RNA", at positions 372 to 525 of the family's 1533-position model. Lineage: Bacteria; Pseudomonadati; Pseudomonadota; Betaproteobacteria; Burkholderiales; Oxalobacteraceae. The record is from RNAcentral.
UGGGCGCAAGCCUGAUCCAGCAAUGCCGCGUGAGUGAAGAAGGCCUUCGGGUUGUAAAGCUCUUUUGUCAGGGAAGAAACGGCCUGUUCUAAUAAAGUGGGCUAAUGACGGUACCUGAAGAAUAAGCACCGGCUAACUACGUGCCAGCAGCCGCGGUAAUA